GUCAAAUGGCACUCCCACAUAUUUAUGUACAACAGCAUAAUAGCCCGUGUCCUUUGAAGACUGAGAGAUUUCAUAAUAAACAUUAUAUUGUUUGUCAGAAUACAGACUGAGAGAGCUGCUGAAAACAAACACACACGAUGUCACGCUGACUAGUGUUUGAUUUAGUCAAGUUUAAGUCACUGUUAUUCUGUCUUUCUUGGAAAAACAUAGACAUCGCUGUUUGGAAAUUUAGAAUAGUGUCAUUUAUCUUUGGAUGAGCAGAAGUGAAUGAAAUGCCUGCUGGGACAUGUGCGUCUCUCUGCUGGAUUUUACUCUCUGUCUGCCUCCUGUUUACCUCUACAGAUGGGAAAAUCAUCAAAGCUGAGCCUGGACAGAACGUCACUCUGCCAUGUCGAACUCCACAUAUCAGCGUCCCCAUCAGAGCUGUGGAGUGGUUCAGACUUGACCUGCAGGAAGGACAUGUCCUCAUGUACCAGGAUGAGCAGUUUAUUUCAUUGAACCAGCUUCCAUCGUUUGUAAACCGGGUGGAUCUGAAGGACAGACGGAUGAAGGACGGAGACGUGUCUUUGACUCUGAGGGAUGUGACAAGUGACGACACUGGAACAUUUCAGUGUUACGUGAUCCAGAGAGGAACAAAUGGCAGGAAAAGCGUUGUUGAUCAUAUCAGCACCGUCUACCUGAGAGUUGUAGUGAGCAGCGAUGGACACACAGCAAUCAGCUGUAGACGUAUAACACAAUUACAAUUGAAUUCUUUAGUGUAUUUCUCCUUUUUACUUAAAAGCUUUCUUAAGAAGAUUUAACAAAAAACUGAAUAAGUUUUUUUUUUUCAUUUUCAUUUUCAUGAUUAUUUUGCUGUUAAAAAGUAAUAAUGCCAAUAAAGUAUUUAUAGUGCAGCCAGUCCCUACUUUAAGACUGCCACAAUCCACUUCCACCAAAAUAAUUUUUAUCCUAAUUUUUCCAUUUAUCAAUUUUGAUCUUUGAUGAUUUGCUUGUAGAGGCGGAGUCUGUAUGAACAGCUUUAAUUCUGCUAUUUGGAAACUUCUCCAGUUUAGUUUAUUUCUACCAGUAUUACAUUUGUUGACCAAUAAUUUUCUCAUAGUUUUUAUGUAUUUGUUUAUUUAUUUUACCAAUGAAAACAAGAUGAUAACUAAUGCAAAAGGAGAAAAACAAUAAUGAAAUUAUUUUGUCAACAAAUAAAUUAAUAAAAUGGAGCGAUGUGUUCCAAGGAGAA
Oreochromis aureus is the source of this 1231-nucleotide long non-coding RNA. RefSeq lists it as uncharacterized. Lineage: Eukaryota; Metazoa; Chordata; Actinopteri; Cichliformes; Cichlidae. The record is from RefSeq and is a predicted model, not a curated record. The transcript has 2 exons.